UGGAGCGGUGGUACCGCGCUGUCCUGGCCCCUCACCUGGCCCAGGUUGCUGGCCCAGCCGCACGUGUGGAUGGCCGCAGAUGACAGGGAGGCACCAGCAUGUGCAAGUGACACUCGGGAGCUGCGGCCCUUCGGCCAGUCCCCAGGGCCCAGCACAGAGCCUGCCGCUGUCACUGCUGUGACUCACACCUGCCGCGAGCAGGGACUGCACCGGAGGGUCCCACUGCCAUUGGAAGUGCGGGGUCUCCUGGAAAACAGGGAGACGUGGUAUGUCGGCCUCCGCACAGUCGGAUCAUAAGGGCUUUGCAGUUCCUCUGACUCAGUGCAUUCGGCCCUCAUGUCGGCUGUGAGGUCCCAAUCCCUUCCCCACUCUCGUCACACGUGCAGAGCUCAGAAAACAAACAGACUGAGGCUAGGGGCAUGUCCACAAGAAAUUAGCAGCUUUCACCUGAACUGCAGAAGGGAAAGGAAACCACGUCUCUGGUGACAAAGUCAACCCCACGACCUUGGACGCAGGGACCCAUGGAUGAGAAGGACACAGUUUUCUAGCCUUCUGCCCUCAGCCAGGCACAGGCAGACGGGCGGCAGUCGCGGAAGAGACUCAGCUCGUGUCGUCGGUGAGGGGCCCGCUGACAGUGUAACCGAAAGGUCACAGGAAGUGCCGCAGACCCGGAGGAAGGAAGGGGUUUGGAAAACUGAGCAACGGGGAACAGGGACUGUUUUUGGCGAGGAGACGGGUGCCUGCCCCAGGAAGAUGUCCCGGGAAGGAGGGCUCGUGUGGAGCGGAGGAGACAGUGCACUUUCUUCCUGGAGGUUACGAGUCCUAUGACACGCUGGGCAUGUGCACCAGGCACGUCUGCCCGUCGAGUCUGCAAGCCCCCCUCAGUGACCUUUACAAGUCAAGUUGUUGUGUGGGCUCUGCAAGAACAUAGGGACCCAGCUGCCCUCCCAGGCCGCUCCCUGGAACAUCUGUGCCGUCUCCUGACAGGUUUGUGGGAGACCCGGCGACAGAGGCUCCGCUCUCAGCCUGCGCCCCGUGCCGCUGUUCUGAGCAGACUGUCUACACGCUCGUGCCACGUUCUGGCAAACGGGACGGGCUCAGGAAUCCCGCGACAGUGCUGGACACUGAGGCUGAGCGGCGGGAAGGCGCCGUCCCAGCCUCCCCUGUGCGCCCUCCGGACAGAACUCUGAGCAGGACUCAACCACCUGCCGCCCAG
Long non-coding RNA from Molossus molossus (Pallas's mastiff bat), 1216 nucleotides. RefSeq lists it as uncharacterized. Lineage: Eukaryota; Metazoa; Chordata; Mammalia; Chiroptera; Molossidae. The record is from RefSeq and is a predicted model, not a curated record. The transcript has 7 exons.